This 72-nucleotide transfer RNA is filed under the name Ictidomys tridecemlineatus (thirteen-lined ground squirrel). RNAcentral's name for it is "Spermophilus tridecemlineatus (thirteen-lined ground squirrel) tRNA". It matches the Rfam family "tRNA". From Rfam's summary of the family: Transfer RNA (tRNA) molecules are approximately 80 nucleotides in length. Their secondary structure includes four short double-helical elements and three loops (D, anti-codon, and T loops). Lineage: Eukaryota; Metazoa; Chordata; Mammalia; Rodentia; Sciuridae. The record is from Rfam by way of RNAcentral.
CGGGUUGUGGCUCAGUGGUAGAGCACUUGCCUUGCAUGUGUGAGGCCCUGGGUUCAAUCCUCAGCACCACAU